UUUCUGAGAGUUGUGGUGAUUAAGGAGAUCAAAGGUUCCCAAUAUGGGGUGCAGCUGGAGAGCGCUGUGAGGGACAGAUUGGCAGCGGAUGACAAGUACGAGGAGGAAGAGGAAGAAGCCUUGGAGAAAGUUGUCGAAUUCUUCCAGUCUAAGUAUUUUAAGAAGAAUUCGAUCAUCACAUACCAUUUUCCUGCAAAUUCAUGCACUGCUGAGGUAUACCUUGAAGCUUAUGAGUAAUGUUCUCUCCUUAAAAAAUUAAUCAUUCUUGUACUAAUAGUGUAUAUGUAUGUGUACGUGCGCGCGCGUGUGCAGAUUGCAUUUACUACCGAGGGAAAGGAGGAAGCAAAAAUCAAAGUGGAGAAUGCCAAUGUGGUUGAGAUGAUCAAGAAAUGGUACCUGGGAGGAACAAGGGGAGUGUCUGCUACUACCAUAACCUCCUUAGCUAAUGCCCUCUCUGCCCGGUUAUGCAAAUGAGCCUAUUUUGUCUAAUUAUAAGUUCAUAACCUUCCCUGGAAGGUUGCUCAGGAAUGAUCCUGUCUGUUGUG
This 545-nucleotide long non-coding RNA is filed under the name Theobroma cacao (cacao). RNAcentral's name for it is "long non-coding RNA (TCAC_LNC006138)". The record is from RNAcentral. Lineage: Eukaryota; Viridiplantae; Streptophyta; Magnoliopsida; Malvales; Malvaceae.